ACCGGUGACUGAUCCCAUGCGAAACCCCUUCGACGAGUCGAGUUGUUUGGGAAUGCAGCUCAAAAUGGGUGGUAAAUUUCAUCUAAAGCUAAAUACUGGCUGGAGACCGAUAGCGCACAAGUAGAGUGAUCGAAAGAUGAAAAGCACUUUGGAAAGAGAGUCAAAAAGUACGUGAAAUUGUUGAAAGGGAAGCGCUUGCAACCAGACCUGUCCGUGGGUGAUCAGCCGCCGUUCUCGGUGGUGCACUCGCCUACGAUCAGGCCAGCAUCGGUUCGGGCGGCCGGACAAAGGCCUUGGGAAUGUAGCUCCUCUCGGGGAGUCUUAUAGCCCUCGGUGCAAUGUGGCCAGCCCGGACCGAGGACCGCGCUUCGGCUAGGAUGCUGGCGUAAUGGUUGUAAGCGACCCGUCUUGAAACACGGACCAAGGAGUCUAACAUCUAUGCGAGUGUUUGGGUGUUAAACCCAUACGCGGAAUGAAAGUGAACGGAGGUGAGAACCCUUUAGGGCGCAUCAUCGACCGAUCCAGAUGUCUUCGGAUGGAUUUGAGUAUGAGCAUAGCUGUUGGGACCCGAAAGAUGGUGAACUAUGCCUGAAUAGGGUGAAGCCAGAGGAAACUCUGGUGGAGGCUCGCAGCGGU
RNAcentral lists this ribosomal RNA (636 nucleotides) under Protoparmelia aff. badia A GS-2015. RNAcentral's name for it is "eukaryotic LSU rRNA". It matches the Rfam family "Eukaryotic large subunit ribosomal RNA", at positions 228 to 884 of the family's 3401-position model. The record is from RNAcentral. Lineage: Eukaryota; Fungi; Ascomycota; Lecanoromycetes; Lecanorales; Parmeliaceae.